RNAcentral lists this ribosomal RNA (780 nucleotides) under uncultured bacterium. RNAcentral's name for it is "bacterial SSU rRNA". It matches the Rfam family "Bacterial small subunit ribosomal RNA", at positions 713 to 1504 of the family's 1533-position model. The record is from RNAcentral.
UUGCGAAGGCAGCUUUCUGGAUCAUUACUGACACUGAGGAACGAAAGCAUGGGUAGCGAAGAGGAUUAGAUACCCUCGUAGUCCAUGCCGUAAACGAUGUGUGUUAGACGUUGGAAAUUUAUUUUCAGUGUCGCAGGGAAACCGAUAAACACACCGCCUGGGGAGUACGACCGCAAGGUUAAAACUCAAAUGAAUUGACGGGGACCCGCACAAGUAGUGGAGCAUGUGGUUUAAUUCGAAGAUACGCGCAGAACCUUACCAACACUUGACAUGUUCGUCGCGACUCUAAGAGAUUAGAGUUUUCGGUUUGGCCGGACGAAACACAGGUGCUGCAUGGCUGUCGUCAGCUCGUGUCGUGAGAUGUUGGGUUAAGUCCCGCAACGAGCGCAACCCUCACUUUUAGUUGCCAUCAUUAAGUUGGGCACUCUGAAAGAACUGCCAGUGAUAAGCUGGAGGAAGGUGGGGAUGACGUCAAGUCCUCAUGGCCCUUACGUGUUGGGCUACACACGUGCUACAAUGGCAUCUACAACAGGAAGCAAAACGGCAACGUUAAGCAAAUCCCGAAAAGAUGCCUCAGUUCGGAUUGCACUCUGCAACUCGAGUGCAUGAAGCUGGAAUUACUAGUAAUCGUGGAUCAGCGUGCCACGGUGAAUGCGUUCCCGGGUCUUGUACACACCGCCCGUCACACCAUGGGAGUUGGUUCUACCUUAAGGCAAGGUUUUAAACCCUUGACCACGGUAUAGUCAGCGACUGGGGUGAAGUCGUAACAAGGUAACCGUA